CAGUAGCCGCGGGAAUACAGAGGGUGCAAGCGUUAAUCGGAAUUACUGGGCGUAAAGCGCGCGUAGGUGGUUUGUUAAGUUGGAUGUGAAAUCCCCGGGCUCAACCUGGGAACUGCAUCCAAAACUGGCAAGCUAGAGUAUGGUAGAGGGUGGUGGAAUUUCCUGUGUAGCGGUGAAAUGCGUAGAUAUAGGAAGGAACACCAGUGGCGAAGGCGACCACCUGGACUGAUACUGACACUGAGGUGCGAAAGCGUGGGGAGCAAACAGGAUUAGAUACCCGCGUAGUCCCUGUCUCUUAUAC
Molecule: ribosomal RNA, 301 nt
Filed under: uncultured bacterium
Lineage: Bacteria
Description: partial 16S ribosomal RNA
Rfam family: Bacterial small subunit ribosomal RNA
Source: RNAcentral